This 478-nucleotide ribosomal RNA is filed under the name uncultured bacterium. RNAcentral's name for it is "partial 16S ribosomal RNA". It matches the Rfam family "Bacterial small subunit ribosomal RNA", at positions 28 to 523 of the family's 1533-position model. The record is from RNAcentral.
GACGAACGCUGGCGGCGUGCUUAACACAUGCAAGUCGAGCGAUGAAGCUUCUUCGGAAGCGGAUUAGCGGCGGACGGGUGAGUAACACGUGGGCAACCUGCCUCAUAGAGGGGAAUAGCCUUCCGAAAGGAAGAUUAAUACCGCAUAAGAUUGUAAUAUCGCAUGAUAUAGCAAUUAAAGGAGUAAUCCGCUAUGAGAUGGACCCGCGUCGCAUUAGCUAGUUGGUGAGGUAACGGCUCACCAAGGCGACGAUGCGUAGCCGACCUGAGAGGGUGGUCGACACCAUUGGGACUGAUACACGGCCCAGACUCCUGCGGGAGGCAGCAGUGUGGAAUAUUGCACAAUGGGGGAAACCCUGAUGCAGCAACGCCGCGUGAGUGAUGACGGUCUUCGGAUUGUAAAGCUCUGUCUUCAGGGACGAUAAUGACGGUACCUGAGGAGGAAGCCACGGCUAACUACGUGCCAGCAGCCGCCGUAA